This is a long non-coding RNA of Lycium ferocissimum, 474 nucleotides long. RefSeq lists it as uncharacterized. The transcript has 2 exons. NCBI's taxonomy places the organism in Eukaryota, Viridiplantae, Streptophyta, Magnoliopsida, Solanales, Solanaceae. The record is from RefSeq and is a predicted model, not a curated record.
AACAAGAUCAACAUUUAAGAUCCCUCAAUUCCUAUAGUGCAAUGGCAAUGAAAGUUGUGGUGGUGUUGUUUCUUGCAAUGCUUGUUUUCUUGGGCCAUAAUGCUAUGGCAGAAGAAUCUAAGGACCUAAUAUUGUGUCGAGCAUUAUGUGAAAUAACGUGCAAAGGAAAGCCUAAGUGCCUACCCAGAUGCAUCGCCAUAUGCCUUUCAACUGUAUCAGUUGAUACUAGUAAUGAGAUAAUGAGAAGUUUGGAAGUUGCAUGACAAGCUGCAGUGAGAACUAUUGCAUUGGCAAUGCUCUAGAGAAAAGCUUAAGAAGAAGCAUUAAUUUGCUCUAAGAAAUAAGUAAAACACUAUGUACAGUAUUAAAUACUUUGUGGUUGUAAUUUUCUAAAUUAUGUAAUUGUUAUGCACGCUUUUAUAUUGAAUAAAAAUCUAGUGCUUCUUGUUAAAGCACAAGAGAAGUUACUUUCUA